Long non-coding RNA from Oreochromis aureus, 312 nucleotides. RefSeq lists it as uncharacterized. The record is from RefSeq and is a predicted model, not a curated record. Lineage: Eukaryota; Metazoa; Chordata; Actinopteri; Cichliformes; Cichlidae. The transcript has 3 exons.
GUUUCCAUUUAGGAGUUAUUAUCUGUCCUGGAAUGCUGAGUGUUUUCCUGCUGACUGGACUCAUCACCCUCGGUGUUUACUAUCAUGUUUCAGCUACAAAUCUCUCUGCUGAGUCUAACAAGCUUUCCGCUGUAACUGAAGAGAGAGACCUGCUGCAAGCCAACCUCACUGAAAGGACCAAAGAGCUGGAGAGACUGCAGAGUUUGUUCAAGCAGAAGACAACAUGUCCUGCAGGAUGGCGCAAGUUCAGCUGUAGCUGUUAUCUCCUGUCUAAAAGCUCUGGUUCCUGGCAUUCAGCUAGAAAACACUGCA